GCAAGUCGAGCGAGACCUUCGGGUCUAGUGGCGCACGGGUGCGUAACGCGUAGGCAAUCUACCCGAUACAGGGGAAUAACACGGGGAAACUCGUGCUAAUACCGCGUAAUAAAUGAGAAGGCAUCUUCUUAUUUUAAAAGCUUCGGCGGUAUCGGAAGAGCCUGCGUCCUAUUAGCUAGUUGGUAAGGUAACAGCUUACCAAGGCGACGAUAGGUAGGGGAACUGAGAGGUUGAUCCCCCACACUGGUACUGAGAUACGGACCAGACUCCUACGGGAGGCAGCAGUGAGGAAUAUUGGUCAAUGGACGGAAGUCUGAACCAGCCAUGCUGCGUGUCGGAAGACGGCCCUCUGGGUUGUAAACGGCUUUUCUUUGGGAAGAACACGCUCUUGCGAGAGCAACUGACGGUACCAAAGGAAUAAGCACCGGCUAACUACGUGCCAGCAGCCGCGGUAAUACGUAGGGUGCAAGCGUUGUCCGGAUUUAUUGGGUUUAAAGGGUGCGUAGGCGGCUAUUUAAGUCGUGGGUGAAAGCCCGUCGCUUAACGACGGAAUUGCCUGCGAUACUGGAUAGCUUGAGUAUCGUUAAGGUUGGCGGAAUGGGAGGUGUAGCGGUGAAAUGCAUAGAUACCUUCCAGAACACCGAUUGCGUAGGCAGCUGACUAGGCGAUAACUGACGCUGAGGCACGAAAGCGUGGGGAGCGAACAGGAUUAGAUACCCUGGUAGUCCACGCCGUAAACGAUGAUGACUCGUUGUUGGACUUCGGUUCAGUGACUAAGGGAAGCCGU
RNAcentral lists this ribosomal RNA (787 nucleotides) under uncultured bacterium. RNAcentral describes it as "bacterial SSU rRNA". It matches the Rfam family "Bacterial small subunit ribosomal RNA", at positions 57 to 860 of the family's 1533-position model. The record is from RNAcentral.